UCCCUUGUAGCUUAGUAGGUAAAGAAUUUGCCUGCAAUGCAGGAGACCCGGGCUCAAUCCCUGGGUUGGGAA
RNAcentral lists this transfer RNA (72 nucleotides) under Bos taurus (domestic cattle). It matches the Rfam family "tRNA". From Rfam's summary of the family: Transfer RNA (tRNA) molecules are approximately 80 nucleotides in length. Their secondary structure includes four short double-helical elements and three loops (D, anti-codon, and T loops). Further hydrogen bonds mediate the characteristic L-shaped molecular structure. tRNAs have two regions of fundamental functional importance: the anti-codon, which is responsible for specific mRNA codon recognition, and the 3' end, to which the tRNAs corresponding amino acid is attached (by aminoacyl-tRNA synthetases). tRNAs cope with the degeneracy of the genetic code in two manners: having more than one tRNA (with a specific anti-codon) for a particular amino acid; and 'wobble' base-pairing, i.e. permitting non-standard base-pairing at the 3rd anti-codon position. Lineage: Eukaryota; Metazoa; Chordata; Mammalia; Artiodactyla; Bovidae. The record is from Rfam by way of RNAcentral. RNAcentral also lists the same sequence under 3 other names.